CCCAGUGACCAUAGGACCUGGGCAGGAGCCCAUUCCUGUAAUCGCAAGGACAAACGUCCAAAGAAGGAGUUGGGGGUAGGGCUCAAGUCAGGUAACAUUCCUCAGGGGAAGGAUUAUCAAGUGACACCGGGCGGAGGGCCCACGGGGGACUGGGCGGGAGGAAAGUUAGCAGGUAAAAAGGAUGAAUCAUGGAGAAGGAAGUGACCUUUAGGAGAAGGAAAUACGAGAAUACCAAAAAAGGUGUAAGGUUAAGAAGAGAAAAUGGACCCAGAAGAGGGGACCAAAAAAGAGGAGGCGUGUUCGGGUACUGGAGGAAGAAGAAAGGAAAGCACCUACAUAAUAGCUGCCCAAUCUCUUCCCUGCUCUGAGCCCAGGGGUUUAGUCUGCAGAGCUCUGAGAGUGUAAAAUUUCCCAUGUGCCUUCAAACCAGGUCAUUCUGGAAUCUG
This 446-nucleotide long non-coding RNA is filed under the name Homo sapiens (human). Its description in RNAcentral is "HSALNT0329899". Lineage: Eukaryota; Metazoa; Chordata; Mammalia; Primates; Hominidae. The record is from RNAcentral.